This is a long non-coding RNA of Anguilla rostrata (American eel), 2129 nucleotides long. RefSeq lists it as uncharacterized. The record is from RefSeq and is a predicted model, not a curated record. The transcript has 2 exons. Lineage: Eukaryota; Metazoa; Chordata; Actinopteri; Anguilliformes; Anguillidae.
AUCGAUCCAAAGUUAGUAUAAAAGGCUUUCUGAUAGAAUACCGACAAAGGAAAUUAACUGGAAAUAUGUUUUCGUAUUUUAACUUUUCUUAAACCAGCAAUGGAUUUUAUGUCAUUCUACCAUGGAUUCUUACAGUCUUCUCCAAUUCCAGUGGAUUUCUGCCAGUAAUAUACAGCUCAGACCACAGGAGAGAGAUCCCGAGUAAGAGAUCUCCCUGAGGUGAGAAAGGAGCCAGGAGCCGUCUCACCUGUCGCCACCCCCCUCCGUUUCCCCAGCAGCAGCCCGCCUUGUCGCCCCCAUCGGAUCAAUGCCAGGGGGCCGUGCACAGUGGUGUUCGGGCAUGCGGCCUUCUCUAAUAGCUCCUCAGAAGUGAAUCAAAGGCCCGGCAAGCAUUGGGGAUCAAUAGCGGUGGCUGGGACUGAGCUCAGAGUAGUCGUCUGCCAUCCACCGCCCCCACCCCCACAAUCCCCCCUCAUCCCCCCCAUCCCCCCACCGGUUCCAACUGCCAGUAACUGCAGACAAGCAUGGAGGCAGGGAGGGAUGGGUGGAAUGGCAGCAUGCAGGUGUGGGGCUUCGGGUCACUGCUCAAACUGAUUUGUCUUUUUUUUUCUUUCUUUUUUUAAAAAUGCUGCUGGACAUUUUUUGGCCGGUUUUCAGUCGGCCGUGAUGGCUUUUGAAAUUGUUCGGAGCGAGUUCAGGAAGGCUGACCGUGGCACAUUUCCACCGCUUCAUCUCGAUCCCCGCUGGGCGGUACUGCGGGGAUCUGGCAGUCUGUGAAAAAGCGGGCGAAGAUAGUUUAAUUAAAACAGUGGAUUUGUUCAACCGUUUAUUUUUUCCCCGGUAAUGUGGCAUCCUGCAAAGCGGCCGACAUUGCACAUAUGCCUUUAAUCAUACUUUUUUUGUGAUCAAAUGUCUUUUUUAUUGUGGAACACCCAUGUGAUUAAUACAACAACAGAAAAUCAGUAUAACUUCUUGGAUUCAAACAAUAUGUUUUGUACCCCCCAGCUCAACCCCCCCCCCUCCUUUUUCUCUGACCCAAUUUCUUUUCGUAUCACCACAUCACCACAAGGAUCUUAUAAGGGACAACAUAAAAUGCAAAGGACAGACAUGCACUGCACACAGACUAAUGUAUUGAUUCCUUUAGGGUUUCCACCGCAUAGGGCCACUGGCUCAAUGUGUCUUCUUCAGCUCUGUUGAUGUGCACUGUAGAUAUUUCCAAGUAAAUUGCAUCUAAAGAAUAUGAGGAACCAUGUGUAUAAACUGUGUGGCGAUUUCCAACGAAAUGUGCCAAUUUUCAUUUUCUUUGAGCGUAUUUUUUUUCUGAAAGUGUAAAAUAUUUUGUGCAAACCUUCAGAUGUCACUGUUGUGAAUGAAUGCAAUUAUGCAACUGGGCUUUGGAAACAAACAAUGAGUUUUUUCCUUUUAGGGCGAGUGGACGAAAUGGGCGUUGUUUUGAGAAUGGAUAGAACAUUGAGGCCCGUAUUUUUAAUUUGUCUGAGUGGAAGCACUGAUUAGAAUGUCAAGUAGAGACUGCUGGUUUGCUAUUUAACAUUUUCGCUGCAAAGAGUACAGUUGGUUUACUGGUGACUUUGCUUGCCAUCUAAGCUUUGAUGAGAAUGCAAGGUAUUGUGGGUAAUGACAUUUAGGAGCAUUGACAGAUCUUCACAUGUAGACCUUUCCACACCAGAAAAUAUGGAUAAAAUCUGCCCAAAGACAGCUGAUAUGGAAAAGUCAAUACAUAUUUUCUAUAAAACCAUCAUGAUGUUGUAAUCCCAGCAGGUGUACAGUGACAAAAGAUUAGCUCCACAAUUGGAAUAUUGACUUGUUCAUUGGAAAAAAAAAAGAAUCUGAUUCAGAAACAUAAUAUGGUUCAGAAGUGGUUUAUUUUGCAACUUAAUGCAUACAAUUUCAGCCACCGUGUGAAUACAAAGGGCUCUGUCACAGUGAUAGUUCUAUAAAUAUUUCUAUUUCUUAAAAAUGGUUAAUUCUGAAUUUCUGACUUUGGAACAAAAGAAGAAUACUACAAUAUCUGAUUCACAGUAUUACAUGGCAACUGUCCUUUUUUCAUUUCAUAUCGACUGUGAUUUUCUAAACCCUGCUGCUGUGAAAAUAAAUGUUAAUAAACUAUU